CCAAUAGCGUAUAUUAAAGUUGUUGCAGUUAAAAAGCUCGUAGUUGAAUUUCGGGAUCAAGGGAUCGGUCAUGCCUUGGUAUGUACUGGUCUUAUUGGUUCUCACCUUCUAAAGAACCAUGAUGUCAUUUAUUUGAUGUUAUGGGGAAUUAGGACUGUUACCUUGAAAAAAUUAGAGUGUUUAAAGCAAGCUUACGCUUG
Molecule: ribosomal RNA, 200 nt
Filed under: uncultured Glomus
Lineage: Eukaryota; Fungi; Glomeromycota; Glomeromycetes; Glomerales; Glomeraceae
Description: partial small subunit ribosomal RNA
Rfam family: Eukaryotic small subunit ribosomal RNA
Source: RNAcentral